UACGUAGGGUGCAAGCGUUGUCCGGAAUUAUUGGGCGUAAAGAGCUCGUAGGCGGUCUGUUGCGUCGGCUGUGAAAACCCGGGGCUCAACUCCGGGCCUGCAGCCGAUACGGGCAGACUAGAGUUCGGCAGGGGAGACUGGAAUUCCUGGUGUAGCGGUGAAAUGCGCAGAUAUCAGGGGGAACACCGGUGGCGAAGGCGGGUCUCUGGGCCGAUACUGACGCUGAGGAGCGAAAGCGUGGGGAGCGAACAGG
RNAcentral lists this ribosomal RNA (253 nucleotides) under uncultured bacterium. Its description in RNAcentral is "partial 16S ribosomal RNA". It matches the Rfam family "Bacterial small subunit ribosomal RNA", at positions 524 to 776 of the family's 1533-position model. The record is from RNAcentral.